GAUGAACGCUGGCGGCGUGCCUAAUACAUGCAAGUCGAGCGAACAGACGAGGAGCUUGCUUCUUUGACGUUAGCGGCGGACGGGUGAGUAACACGUGGACAACCUACCUAUAAGACUGGGAUAACUUCGGGAAACCGGAGCUAAUACCGGAUAAUAUAUUCAACCGCAUGGUUCAAUAUUGAAAGACGGUUCUGCCUUCACCUAUAGAUGGAUCCGCGGCGCAUUAGGUAGUUGGUAAGGUAACGGGCUCCCAAAGGCACGAUUCGUAGGCCACCUGAGAGGGGGGAUCGGCACACCGGGAACUGGAACACGGUCCAGACUCCUAGGGGAGGCGGAAGAGGGGAAUUUUCCGCAAGGGGGGAAAGCCGGACGGGGCAACGCGGCGGGGGUGAUAAGGGUCUUCGGUUCUUAAGACUUUGUGUCUGGGGAGAAAAAGAUGUGUAAGAAAAUAGGCGCGUCUUGACGGUACCUAAUCAGAAAGCCACGGCUAACUACGUG
RNAcentral lists this ribosomal RNA (498 nucleotides) under uncultured bacterium. RNAcentral describes it as "partial 16S ribosomal RNA". It matches the Rfam family "Bacterial small subunit ribosomal RNA", at positions 28 to 507 of the family's 1533-position model. The record is from RNAcentral.